CAAAACAUAAAAAAGACACAAAAUAAGGAUGGUAGAUAAUAAUUCAUAUAAAUAUUUUAGGACAUUUAAUCUAUUUUAAUAGAAAUAGGAUUUAAAAACUGCAAACAAAUUUAAUCAUUACAUAAUCAGCUGAUAUUUUUUUUUACACAAACAUCGUGUUGAUGGAACUGUUGAAAAUCACUUCAUAAAUCCACCAGCCCUUUCACACAGC
This 211-nucleotide long non-coding RNA is filed under the name Mytilus galloprovincialis (Mediterranean mussel). Lineage: Eukaryota; Metazoa; Mollusca; Bivalvia; Mytilida; Mytilidae. The record is from RNAcentral.